GUUCAAGAGUACGUGAAACCGUUCAGGGGUAAACCUGAGAAACCCGAAAGGUCGAAUGGGGAAAUUCAUUCGCGUUUCGAUUGUCGGCGUUGAGCUGUUGAGUGACUAACGGGGUACGCUUCGUUGGCACCUUCAGUUCUACGAACCGACUUCGAACGCGUGCACUUUUCCCCUAGUAGGACGUCGCGAUCCGUUGGGCGUCGGUCUAAGGCCUGCGGUGGAGCUCGCGUGGACGUUUCGGCGUUCCGCACGAACCCGCAGUGUCCCGAUCGACACGCUCGACGGUAUAAAGAUGGCGCGGGGCCGCUACACAGUUAGCGUUCGGCCUACGGCAAGCACGUGCGGUGUUUGAUGGCGAUCAGACCUGGUCGGAUCCCGUCCCCGGACGACUGUUGGCACGUAGUGUUCUCGAACAGACCUCGUUGAAACGCCGAUCUGCGACGCUAUUGCUUUGGGUACUUUCAGGACCCGUCUUGAAACACGGA
RNAcentral lists this ribosomal RNA (485 nucleotides) under Stolas ephippium. RNAcentral describes it as "partial large subunit ribosomal RNA". Lineage: Eukaryota; Metazoa; Arthropoda; Insecta; Coleoptera; Chrysomelidae. The record is from RNAcentral.